CGAAACCUGCAGUUCAAAAGUUUAAAUUUCUAUUUUUUAUUUUGUUGCAAUUUCUAACAAUAAUAAUAUUAUGUAGUUAGGUAUUUUAUUAUAUUUUUAGUUAUUUUGUUAUUGUUAAGGUCAGAGCCGGACACAAAGGUGAGUGUAAACAAAGGUGAGUUUAUUGAAGUGAGUCCAAGCAAGGUGAGUAUUCAAAAGGUGCAGUGACAAUCCGUGAAUGACUGGUUUCUUGUUUCAGCAGGUUAGGAAGACGAGACGAGGGGAACCACACAGACUCACACUUAUACACCGUCGACGAAGGAUCUGGAAGGGGAAGACAACAGAGGCAAAUGGAGAACAACAGGAAUGGAUCUUAAAAGGUAAGUCUUAGGAAGGUAAGGAUAUCUUAGUCUUUCUUGAGAUGAGAGUCCACGUAGCAAUCAACGAGAUCGGACGGCGUAGUGUGAGUGGUGCUGGUUUAAGUAGCCGGGUUGAUUACUGAGGUGAUUUGGUGCAGGUGCGGGUGAUUAGUACUCUGGUGACCUGGAACGCUGUGAUUGGUGGGGUGAAGGGCCUGACUGAUUCGUGACAGUUAUAUUUUUAGUUUUAUUGUAUUUUAAUCGAGGUCAUCACUGGGGAUAUGUCUCUGGGGCUCAUCUGGGUGUCCUGGUCUCCGCUCACGAUCAGGGCUGUAGACAUCAUCUUUUGGUGCUGAUCCACCAUCUGAUCGGAUACGGACUGAGAAACAGAAUAGGAGAGAAACAGACAAAUAUUAGCGUAGAUGCCAUUCUACUUACGAUGUAACGAGUACAUUGUGUGUUAUGGGGAGUGUUCACGGUUCCGGUUGAUCUACACUGUGAGACCAAAUAGUAAAUCUUUCAUAAAGGAAUUGGGUUGUAAUUACUCAAAAUACGUAAAAACGUUCAUUUGCCUCUAAUUAUUUGAGUAAUUAGUACAAAAAUGUAAUUUUAAGUUUACAGCACUCAAAUGCUUUCAUUUGUGUUUGGCAGUGUACUCAAAUAAUUUUAGUACAACCCCGUCUGACAUCACGCACGUGCUUACGUGCUCUGCCCUCAACUAGCUGCUGCAACUUUUGAAAAGACGCCAUGUUGUUGUUGCGCUGACUCAUCUCGGAUUUAUUUAAAUAAGUUUGCAACACUCGCUCGUAUUUUAUAGAAAUAACGUAGGAGGGGAUAUUUUUAGAUCGGGAAUUUGCUGUGGUGUUGCCUGUGAGGACCUUUGUGGGGAAACACGGCAUGCGGUUUUCUGAACCUGCCAGUUAUGAGCUUCUCUUCAUCGUGCUGCCCGCGCAACUGGUGAGUUAACGAUAAAAGUGAAGCAGCUGGAAGUUUAGUUUGGUAUAUUGAUGUCCAAUUAUUAAUUUUAAUACACAUUCAUUGUAUAGAGAUACUGGAACCUACAGAUUGGUGAGAUCCUGGAUUGCUGGCCUGCUUUAAAAUGGAGUCACAGGAAAUAUUAACAUCCAUGCUGCUGUCAGUGAUGUCCAUGAUGAGCUGCUGUCCUCCGUGCUCCCUCCGCCUAUCUGCUUGAGGAUGACUCCAACGUUCUCAAGAUGGGGGAUGUAGAACAAUCUGAUGAACCAGACGCUGGAGAUUUGUCACUUCGUCUCCUCUCCAUUAGUGACAAUUCAACAGUUGCCAUGUUCAUCUGCUCAGAGAAGACUGAAGUUGCACUUUGGGUAACAUAGUUAACGAUUUCCCCAUAUUGGCUCAUGCAUUUGUCAUGCUUUUUGGACUAACUUACACCUUGGAUCUAAGUUCCCCAAAAGAGUUGGACAAUACAUGUGACUUUACCCAGAAAGUCUUGAUGGGUCUGGAGGAUGGGAAGCUGAGACCCAGAGCGUUGAGUCUUAAAAAUGAACUUUUGUCAGUAGAGUUUCCUCAGUGUUUUA
Molecule: long non-coding RNA, 1891 nt
Organism: Onychostoma macrolepis
Lineage: Eukaryota; Metazoa; Chordata; Actinopteri; Cypriniformes; Cyprinidae
Exons: 4
Source: RefSeq, a predicted model, not a curated record